UUGAUCCUGGCUCAGGAUGAACGCUAGCGGCAGGCUUAACACAUGCAAGUCGAGGGGCAGCGGGCGUAGCAAUACGCUGCCGGCGACCGGCGCACGGGUGCGUAACGCGUAUGCAACUACCCGUAACAGGGGUAUAACGGAGGGAAACUUCCACUAAUCCCCCAUAUGGUCAUUGGAUCGCAUGUUUCGAUGACGAAAGGUUUUUCUGGUUACGGAUGGGCAUGCGUGACAUUAGGUAGUUGGCGGGGCAACGGCCCACCAAGCCGACGAUGUCUAGGGGAGCUGAGAGGCUUAUCCCCACACUGGUACUGAGACACGGACCAGACUCCUACGGGAGGCAGCAGUGAGGAAUAUUGGUCAAUGGGAGGAAUCCUGAACCAGCCAUGCCGCGUGGGGAAGAAGGUCCCUAUGGGUUGUAAACCCCUUUUGCUCCGGAGUAAUAAGUCCCUUGCGAGGGAUGAUGAGAGUACGGGGCGAAUAAGCAUCGGCUAACUCCGUGCC
Molecule: ribosomal RNA, 501 nt
Filed under: uncultured bacterium
Lineage: Bacteria
Description: bacterial SSU rRNA
Rfam family: Bacterial small subunit ribosomal RNA
Source: RNAcentral